GUUGCGUGUCGCACGUCGCCCGGCCCCGCCCCUCCCGGCGAGAUGCAUAUGGCUGCUCCCAGGCGCCUUUGUGACCAUAACAGCGACAGCAGACAGGAGGCUUGGAUGUCACCAUAGCGCUCACAGACGCAGCCAGAUGGAAUCCGUGGCAGAGGGCCCCGUCCCGGGUGAGGGGGGUCCCCCGAGAAGGAACUAAAGCCAGAUAGUGGCAGUCAAGGCGGACCCCUUCAGCAACUGGCCCACAGACCCGCUUCGUCGCUCUCGUGGGAAUUGAUGUUGAGAACUAAAUUCGUGUCAGAGUGAUUGGAUCUUUCUUUAUGUAUUAUUGUUAUGUUGGGUCUUAGUCGCGUUGUUUUUAAUUAUAGUUUUGAUAUUUUGAGGUAACUUCUUUGUGGAUUUGUGGGUUUUUGUUUGGGUUUUUUUUUUUGUAACUAAACAUAAUAAUUGUAUUUUUUGUAAUGAUUUUAAUAAUUUUAAUUUUUGUGGUUUAACUGUAAUUUGGGGUAAUAGUGUAUAAAUUGUGUUUUAAUAGUUUAUAUUAUGUUAUACUAUAUGUAUAGGAUUUUUUCAUUUACAAUUUAAAGUUUGUGAGGGAUAUAUGUUAGUUGUGAAGAGGUAAACUAACAAGGUAAGAACAAAAUGGGGUUUUAGGAUUGGUGACCGAUAAACAGGAGUGUAUUCGGAUGUGUAGUUUUAGUUAGUGUUACUUACAUGUUUUGUUUUGGUUGUGGAACUAUUUAUCUUAGCUUUUUUUUUUUUUUAGUAUUUUAAAUAAGGUUUGUUUGACACAAUGA
Vidua chalybeata is the source of this 794-nucleotide long non-coding RNA. RefSeq lists it as uncharacterized. The transcript has 4 exons. Lineage: Eukaryota; Metazoa; Chordata; Aves; Passeriformes; Viduidae. The record is from RefSeq and is a predicted model, not a curated record.